RNAcentral lists this ribosomal RNA (440 nucleotides) under uncultured bacterium. RNAcentral describes it as "partial 16S ribosomal RNA". It matches the Rfam family "Bacterial small subunit ribosomal RNA", at positions 338 to 795 of the family's 1533-position model. The record is from RNAcentral.
CCUACGGGAGGCAGCAGUGGGGAAUAUUGCACAAUGGGGGGAACUCUGAUGCAGCGACGCCGCGUGGGUGAAGGAGUACUUCGGUACGUAAAGCUCUAUCAGCAGGAAAGAAAAUGACGGUAUCUGACUAAGAAGCCCCGGCUAACUACGUGCCGGCACCCGCGGUAAUACGUAGGGGGCACGCGUUGUCCGGAUUGACAGGGUGUAAAGGGAGCGUAGACGGCAGUGCAAGUCCGGUGUGAAAGCCCGGGGCUCAACCCGGGGACUGCUCUGGAAACUGUAACGCUGGAGUGCGGGAGGGGCAGGCGGAAUUCCUGGUGUAGCGGUGAAAUGCGUAGAUAUAAGGAGGAACACCGGCGGCGAAGGCGGCCUGCUGGACCGUAACUGACGUUGAGGCUCGAAAGCGUGGGGAGCAAACAGGAUUAGAUACCCGGGUAGUC